AAAACCUACCCCAUUCUGGAAUGUUGGAGUAUGAUCUUCCAAAGAAGCCUUUCCAUUCUGCAGAUGGAUACUCCCAAUCGAAUCAUUAUAACGAGUGAAAUCUUCUUUACCAACAACUUUCACAUAAUUUGCAGCUAUCUCACAUUGCUUAGCCCUUUCACGAAUUAACAUAUCUGCUUCUUGAAGAGUUAGAAAACUAAU
RNAcentral lists this unclassified non-coding RNA (201 nucleotides) under Hevea brasiliensis (rubber tree). Lineage: Eukaryota; Viridiplantae; Streptophyta; Magnoliopsida; Malpighiales; Euphorbiaceae. The record is from RNAcentral.